Molecule: long non-coding RNA, 471 nt
Filed under: Gossypium raimondii (Peruvian cotton)
Lineage: Eukaryota; Viridiplantae; Streptophyta; Magnoliopsida; Malvales; Malvaceae
Description: long non-coding RNA (GRAI_LNC001948)
Source: RNAcentral
AAUAUUUGUUAGGUAGUGAGAUAAGAAUAUCACGUGAUUCUCCCUUGCCCUCAUUUCACACCGUUACUUGCAUUUCCUGCUAUUGCACUAUGUUCUUUCUUUUUCUUUCUUUUUCUUGUUCUUUCUUUUUUUCUUUACUUUUGAUAUUUUUGGUUCCUCUUGAUUUGGGUUAUCGUUUUAUUUAAUUUUGGUGGUGGUCGUCAGUAGGGUUUGAUAAUUUGGUUUUUUCGUAAGUUUGUUCAAUAUUUAUUUUUCCUACGAGUGAAGUCUUUCAUUUUGUUAUUUUUUUUAUCUUACUAAAUUGGGUUUAAGUAAAGCGUUUUUCGAUAUUGAUCGUUUGGAUUAUUUAGGUGAAGGUCAUGGAUCGAUCAAUGCUUGGGGUGUUGUUGUUUUCGUUCAAAGGUAAGUUUUGGUACUGAUUUGAGGGUUGUGGUGUUUGUGUGGUAUUCAAUUGAGGUUUCGUUUGGUACU